RNAcentral lists this unclassified non-coding RNA (151 nucleotides) under soil metagenome. Its description in RNAcentral is "partial internal transcribed spacer 1". The record is from RNAcentral.
CCGAGCUCGCGCCCACCCGGGCCGACCUCCCCCCCGUGUGUAUUCUUACCCUGUUGCUUUGGCGAGCCGCCCCCCUGAGGGGCCCUGCACGCUCGUCGAAGGCCCUCAAAACCCUGUUCGUCAGUGUCGUCUGAGCGUGAUAUAAUAGUUA